GUGAAUCAUCGAAUUUUUGAACGCAAAUUGCACUCUCCGGUUUUCCGGGAGAGUAUGCCUGUUUGAGGUUCAGCCUAAAAAAAAUCGACAUUGUUGCUGUUAUUUAAUGGUGACUUUCGUCGGAGCUUGGGUUAUCUUAAACCUUUUUUUUUUUUUAUUUUUAAGCGAUUCAAAAUUUUUCUUUAAGAUUCCAUGAACGUUC
Molecule: unclassified non-coding RNA, 202 nt
Filed under: Funneliformis geosporum
Lineage: Eukaryota; Fungi; Glomeromycota; Glomeromycetes; Glomerales; Glomeraceae
Description: partial contains 5.8S ribosomal RNA and internal transcribed spacer 2
Rfam family: 5.8S ribosomal RNA (bases 1-72)
Source: RNAcentral